AAGCGAGCUGGUAGGAACGCGGAGCUGCCGCAGCCGCAGGUGCCUGCGACCUGGGAGCGUCCAGGCACGCCAGUGAACACGCUCCGGCGCCGCCGGCCUCCAUUGCCGACUCCGCCCUGUGUGUUGGGGCGGACGGGGGCUUCCCACGUCUCGUGUUUGCUGUCCGUGAACAAUCCCCGCACCGCGGGCAGGGCCGGUGUCCAGCGCGUGGCGGGGCCGUGCUGUCCGGCUGCGACCACCACGGGCCCAAAUGCCACUCCUGUGGCUGCCGCCCCUGGUUCAGCCUCAAAGCUGCCGCCUGACCAAAGUGGUCCGGAAGUCGGUCUCCGGAAGUCGGUCUCCGGAAGUUGGUCACCGGAAGUGGAGCCUGGAAGUUAGCUUCGGGAGCCCGCCUCCGGAUGUCUUCUUCCAGGACUGGGCCUCCGGAUGUCAGUUUACGGAAGUAGGUUCCCUAGAACUUUGUAUCAAAAGUCGGCCUCCGGAUGUUGGUCUCCGGAAGUUGGUCUCCGGAAGUAAAGCCUGGAAGUUAGUUUUGGAAUCCGGCCUUUGGAAGUCAGGCUCUGGAAGUAGAUCCCUGGGAGUUAGUAUUGGAAGCCGGCUCCCAGAAGUUGGCCUUUGGAAGUAGGCCUCCUGAAGUCUGCCUCCAGGACUGGAUCUCCAGAAGUCGGCCUCCGGAAGUAGAUCCCUAGAAGUUAGUAUCGGAUGCCGGCUUCCGGAAGUAGGCCUUUGGAAGUCGGCCUCUGGAAGUUGGCAUGUGGAAGUUGGCCUCCAGGUCUCGACCUCUGGAAGUCAGGCUCCAGGAGUCAAUGUGGCAUCAUUAGGUGGAAGUAUUGUUUGUUCUGAGCACAAGGCACUCUCAUCCUUUUUAUACCCAAAGGAGACAGAAGCUGAGAAUACUUGUCAAAGUUUAGGUUGAUCAGGAAGGAAUUUAAAUGGAUGAUUAUGUUGUUUCAGAAGACAGAAGUUUAUCACGUGUUGUGGGAAGGCAGUGCUGGAGGGGAAACCUCUGGGGGUUUGAUUCAGGGAGCCAGUGGGUAGGAGAACCAGAUCUAUGAAGAAAUAAACUCGCCGAUUUCCAGGAAACAGUAGACCCAAAACCAGACGGAAGGAAACUUCUUUUCAUGUGAGUAGUUGGCCCUGGGGGAGCGGGCACAUGCCUCCAGUGCUAGCCAUUCUAGAGUUAAAAACGCAUGAGGAGGAAAAUUGCAGAGAUUUUCAACACCAGGAAACGUCUGCGUGGGCUAUUAUAUAGCUGUUACAGGAGCAAAGAAUACCCCAGAGCAACCCCUUCCCUGCUAUAAACCAGCCUCAGAGUAGAGGGACUCAAGAGCUGCCAAGGGGAGGAGUAUUUAUAGGCCCAGCAUAAACUAAGAGGGAGAGCCCAGCUGGAUGCUCUCCCAUUGUGGGCCUUGCCUUUCACAUCCAGAAUUUCAACCCUAAUCUUGGUAAAGCCCAAAUGUAAGGGUAAAGUAAGGGUAAACAAUCUACAGUGUGGCCCUUACCACAGAGCACCCUGUGACCAUUCAGUAAUUGAACUAUUUGGCUGCUACCAUGAUAGGUCAAUAAAGAACCUGUCUUAUAGAAUGGAACCCACAGAUUGUUUUAAAUGGCCGCAUUUUUUUGUUUGUGUGUGUGGGUUUUUUUUAAACAUUCUUGCAGCAUUCCCUGGAAUGAGACUUAGGACAAUAUUAAAUCCAAUGAAUUACCCAGCCUUCAAGAGGGCAGGGUGGCAUGUUAAGAACAGCUUUGAAUGAUGUUCCUGGUGUCAGUAGAAGCAGUACCAGACACGGUGCUCUCAUUCAACCAAGACUAGUGAGGGAAUGAGGGAGAUGCAGACCCAAAUCCCUUCUCUCUCUUUAUAGAGUUUCUGGAUGUGUGUAAUUGUUUUUGCAGCCCUCAGCUCUGGAAGGAGCCUAGUGAAUGCUUCUGUCCGUGUAUGGUAAGGUAUCUGGACAUGCAGUUGCCUCAUGAUCUGUGAGCAAUUCACUGAUUUGAAAAUUACUCGCCCCCCUUCCUGUACCUUGCUGUCUGGCCAGGCUCAACCAACUCUGAGGGAGUCACAUGGUUGGGGAAGGGUACAUAGGCCUGGAUGGGUUGCCUUUGACCAUAUAGUGCUUGCCUGGGCCUGACCAGAACUUGCUCUCUAUCCCUGGAAAAUUCUGCUCUACUCCUCACCAUCUGUUGGCCUGCUUGUGUGAGAACCCUGAAGGCUUUUGUUCCCAAAAGUGGGCCUUGAAGACUGGGCAGGCUAUGGGGCCUGGUGCUCCAGAUCCUUUCUAGAAACUUUUUUUUUAACUUUAAAAUAUGAUCUCAUUUAUUUCUCAUGACCCUGUGAGGUAGCAAUUGUAACCCUUAUUACAAAGAUGAGGAAACCAACUCAGUGAUGAGAGUUGACUUGUCUACCCAGCUAGCACAAAGCAGAGGUGGGAUUCAAACCCAGGUCUGAAGAUGUUCUCAGUGCUUUUGCCAUGAUAACUCAGCUACUUCCAAGUCUAUUGGUCCUGGAAGUGUGAAUACAAAUUAAAAACAAGAGACUUUCUAGAGACUUAGUCUCCAUCUACCUCCUUUGGAGUGGUAAGUUGCCCAUAGAACUAACAAUUGUACUUACAGAGUUUAGUACAUCUGCCCUACUGGAUCAGGACCCUGGGGGAAGGAACAGAAGCUUUAAGGCCUUGCUACUCCUAUGAUAGUUAAAAGACUGGCAAGGCCAAUGGCAUUAGCAGGGACUUGUUAGAAUUGCACAAUCUCUGGCACCACUCAGAUUUAUGAAUCAGAAUGUUAAUUUGGUCAUUUUUAGGCAUAUUUAAGUUUGAGAAGCACUGCUUUGGGGGACUUAUGUAUAGUUGGGCAGGGAGUUGUGAAUCCUUGCCCCUGAUUUAUGGUGUGGGGCUGCAGUUGGGGGUGUCCUUGCCUACCCAAGAUUUGAUGACUUCCUGUGGGGAGUACGUGGCCCACAAAGACCAUUUCUCAAAUGUCUAGUUGUCCAAACACUCUUCCAACUGUGACACAUUUGUGUGCCACACCUUCUAGUGAUGAGCCACCAUUUCUAAAGCCUUUCAUGAAGUGUGUCAUCACGGUCAUGAUGCCAACUGUGGUGCUGAUGGGGCUGAUUCAUCGGUGAUGUGCAGGGGUUAAUGCCACUCACCCCUUUGUGAGCAGCUCAUGAGCUGGCUUCACAGAGCAUUGUGUUAGCAGGGCCAAGUCUCGCCACUGCAAAGUGCCAUGGAGUAGCGCAGGUGACAAAGUGACAUGGCCUAGGAACAUCCUCUGGGUGGGAAUCUGCACAGGAAGAUUGAGGAAUGUGAACCUGAAGCCUGGAUUGUCAUCUCUGGUGCCGCUGCUCCUGGGAACUUAGGUGACAUUAGGGGCCAGCAUAUCCAGGCUCCUUCCUCGAUAGCCUGGCAAUGACAGAACCUGCCAUGUUUUGGGUUAGUGUCCUUGUCACCUCUCCAGGUGUACAGUGACAAAAGAUGGAAAAUAGCUCCAAAGAAUUUAAUUCAAGAAAAGAUAACAGGUGCCCUUCUGUAAACUGGUUCCCUUGUGAAUACUAUCCACUGUUUACCCAGCAGGCUCCCCGUGUGACGCAGGACAGUGGGGUCUGGACUCCAGGAUGUGAAAGACAAAGACAACCUAUUCCAUCAGUGAGAAGAACUUUGUGUGUGUGCUGGUUUUUAAUUAUAGUCUUUGCUAUAUUUUUCCCUGGGCCACACAAAUGUGGGCUGUGGAACAGGAGUUGUCCUCUGUCAUCCGUCGACUUGUACCAGGGAGCCCGGCCAUCUGCACACAGGUCCUCAGGUGCAUUUGCCCUUCGGUCACCGGCUGCACUCUGGCGCAGAGCUUUAGCACCUUAAGUUGCUCAAUUUGAUCUCUGCACUCAGGAACAAGGUAAUUAAGUCAGCCACAAUCUAAGAAAACGGAUCUGCCUCGACUUGUUGACCGUCUUCAGACAGUGCUCCAUCCUAAAUCAUUUGAUAAUGUAGGAGGCUCGGUGCAGUUCUCCACUUGACUGAGGAUUUUUGAACUUUUUGAGGUUGAGGAUUAUACUCACAGGAGUUAGCACUGUUUGACAAUAUCAGCAUUUCUGAGUUUAGAGCAGCCAGGAGUUGUGGAGUCCUACGCCGAGAAGGAGAAAACCAAGGCCGUAAAGAGUAACGUACAAUGGACUGGCUUCUAGAGGCCCGUGCCAGCCUUGUAUGAAGGACGACAGACAGAAAGAAUGUAUGUGAACUGUGAAAUCAACCACAUUUGUGAACCUUGUGCAAAGUAUCAGCACCGAAACAGCAGACCAGUGAAUGUUCCCCUGAAAACCAGAAGUCAGGAAACCACUGGGCAAAGAACAAAGAACCCAGGGGUUUGGCCUUAUAGCCUCAGGGAUGAUUUUUGUUCCGUAGUGAACACAGCUAAACAUCUUGCUGUCUAAGUCACACAUUAUGAUCCUUGGGAGAUAAAGCAGUGAGUUGUGUCCAAAGGUAGAUUCACAUGCAUUAAAAGCAAACAUUUUUCCUACUCAGAGGUCGAGGUAGGGGGACCGAAGGCCUGGAGACAGCUGAGGGCUGGCUCUACCUCCCUGACGUCGGGGUGACGUCAUUAGCUAGCUCCAGCCUGUUGGCGGAACACCCAGGACUGGCAAUUUAUCCCAUGUUUGCAGCCUGAGAUUACGGAAAGCUUUUAUCAACACUAAAAAUAAUAUUUAGCAAGCCUCAUCGAUCCUUCUUUAAAUAAAGCACCUAUUUUAGAUGAGGUUAGCAAUUUUAUUCAUAGGAUUAAUUUCAUCCCACAAACUACCGUGCAAUGUCUGACAAAAGAUCUUUUUAUAAAUUCCACAUUAGAAAAUAAGUCAUAAUCCCAUCUGCUCCAUUCAUUUCUCUCUGCUCAGUAGAAUGCAUUCAGCAAUACAAGGUCUCCUGCAGACUGAGACAGGUAGUACGGAUAUUCAUAAAUCACCAGCAAAUGAAUAGAUGAAGGUGACAGUGGCCAUAAGAAAUCAAAUCAUUACACUUGUUCUGCUGCUGUGUGCUGAGUGACUAGUUCUUGGCAUAGAACUUGGAUAGCAGAAUAUCCAAACUUCUAAAUGUCCUCUAAGACUUCAUGAGGUUCCAGGUCAACACGGUUCUGACCUUUGGCCUCCAACAGGUGAAGCCCAAAUUCUCCACGAGAGGACAAGGACAUCUGAGAACAAACAUUUUCUAGAAGGAUUCUCAACCUUCUUAGUUUCUGCAAUAGUUGAGUGUAGGCAGCUUUGUUAAAAAAAAAAAAAAGACAAGAAAGGAAGGAAGGAAGAAAGGAGAGCAGAAGGAAGAAAAAUGCCAGGGAAUUCAAAGCAAACCCUUACAUGAGAUAACAAAUUGCCAUAUAAAAUAUACAUAGAACAAGGUUUCUAUGUAUUGCCCUUAAUUGGGUUUAGAAAGAAAGGGAAUCCCAGCACCACCGUGCUAAGAACACUUGCUGCCUGCUGCCUUUUCUGGCAGGAUCGUCCUGGUUUGUGGAAAGAGUGCUAGUCCGACACUGGAUGCUGCUGACAACUGGGGACAGUCUUAGUGUGGUGACAGUCUCCUGAGAAGGUGCGAGGGUUUGGACACGUCACCGAGCACCCUGACACAUAGUCUCCCAUGUGGCUGUGACAUAGCAUGUCAGCGAAAAGUCUUGGCCUCCAUGUGCCUCGAACCACAAUAAAGUCGGUUUCCUAACAACAGUGCCGAGGUGCACGGGGACCCCAAAGCCAUGCUCUGGGUGCUGGGUCUGGCGAACCCACUAAGCCCAGGUUCAUGACCCUCAACACCAGGCAAAUGCUUGACUUACCGUGUUUCAUGCCCUCCCGGGGACACCCGCGCUCCAAUCAGCAUCAGGUUCUCUUUCUCCUUUUUCGCUCCAGUCUCGUUCUACCCAGAAUGUCCCUUUGCCUCUGCUCUUACUGGAAUCCUGAUACUUGACCCCAGCACGGUCUCAUCCUGGGGUGCUCCUGCAUCCUCUCCGCCUCCUGGUUUCCUUCUGUCCCGGUUCUGAGACGCACGCUGGGACCUGCUGGUUG
Microcebus murinus (gray mouse lemur) is the source of this 6028-nucleotide non-coding RNA. The record is from RefSeq and is a predicted model, not a curated record. NCBI's taxonomy places the organism in Eukaryota, Metazoa, Chordata, Mammalia, Primates, Cheirogaleidae.